CCUCGCCUUUAUUGCCAGCAUUUGGUUGGGUACUCUAAAGGAACCGCCGGUGAUAAGCCGGAGGAAGGUGGGGAUGACGUCAAUUCCUCAUGGCCCUUACGCGCUGGGCUACACACGUGCUACAAUGGCGACUACAGUGGGCUGCAACCGUGCGAGCGGUAGCUAAUCUCCAAAAGUCGUCUCAGUUCGGAUUGUUCUCUGCAACUCGAGAGCAUGAAGGCGGAAUCGCUAGUAAUCGCGGAUCAGCAUGCCGCGGUGAAUACGUUCCCAGGCCUUGUACACACCGCCCGUCACACCAUGGGAUUUGGAUUCACCCGAAGGCACUGCGUUAACCCGCAAGGGAGACAGGUGACCACGGUGGGUUUAGAGACUGGGGUGAA
RNAcentral lists this ribosomal RNA (380 nucleotides) under alpha proteobacterium K-2062. RNAcentral describes it as "bacterial SSU rRNA". It matches the Rfam family "Bacterial small subunit ribosomal RNA", at positions 1103 to 1484 of the family's 1533-position model. Lineage: Bacteria; Pseudomonadati; Pseudomonadota; Alphaproteobacteria. The record is from RNAcentral.